AGCCUAACCCUUAUUUUAAAAAAAUAAGGUAUGGUGAAAGAAACCGUUCAGAGUAUCAAGCUCCUCGUCAGAGCACUCUGAACGGUCGUAUCUGGAAACGGGUAUGGGUGACUUCGGUCAUU
This 122-nucleotide small RNA is filed under the name unclassified sequences. RNAcentral describes it as "LOOT RNA". It matches the Rfam family "LOOT RNA". Rfam says of the family: Latescibacteria, OD1/Parcubacteria, OP11, TM7. Lineage (Microgenomates, aka OP11) The record is from Rfam by way of RNAcentral.